This 253-nucleotide ribosomal RNA is filed under the name uncultured bacterium. RNAcentral's name for it is "partial 16S ribosomal RNA". It matches the Rfam family "Bacterial small subunit ribosomal RNA", at positions 524 to 776 of the family's 1533-position model. The record is from RNAcentral.
UACGUAGGGUGCAAGCGUUGUCCGGAAUUAUUGGGCGUAAAGAGCUCGUAGGCGGUCUGUCGCGUCGGAUGUGAAAACUCGGGGCUCAACCCCGGGCCUGCAUUCGAUACGGGCAGACUAGAGUUCGGCAGGGGAGACUGGAAUUCCUGGUGUAGCGGUGAAAUGCGCAGAUAUCAGGAGGAACACCGGUGGCGAAGGCGGUUCUCUGGGCCUUACCUGACGCUGAGGAGCGAAAGCGUGGGGAGCGAACAGG